Unclassified non-coding RNA from Pteropus vampyrus (large flying fox), 356 nucleotides. Its record names the gene 7SK. It matches the Rfam family "7SK RNA". Rfam says of the family: 7SK was discovered as an abundant small nuclear RNA in the mid-70s but a possible function has only recently been suggested. Two independent studies have found that 7SK RNA binds the CDK9/cyclin T complex (known as elongation factor P-TEFb). P-TEFb activates transcription by phosphorylating the C-terminal domain of RNA polymerase II. NCBI's taxonomy places the organism in Eukaryota, Metazoa, Chordata, Mammalia, Chiroptera, Pteropodidae. The record is from Ensembl.
GGAUGUGAGGACGAUCUGGCUGCGACAUCUGUCACCUCAUUGAUCACCAGGGUUCAUUCGGCUGAUCUGGCUGGCUAGGAGGAUGUCCUCUUCCUCCCUCACCGCUCCAUGUGCGUCCCUCCCAAAGCUGCGCACUCGGUCGAAGAGGAUGACCUUCCCCUCUAAAGGAGAGGACUGUUCUUCAAUCAAGGGUAUACAAGUAGCUGCUCUCCCUGCUAGAACUUCCAAACAAGCUCUCAAGAGUUUUGCCAGCAAGAGGGUAGAUGGGUGCUGGGGUAGAAAGGAAACUGUAAGAUAAGGUGCAAAAGAAUGUCACCUCAAUAUAUUUAAUUUUAAAAAAGAAUAGGCAAUUAGGU